This 86-nucleotide transfer RNA is filed under the name Streptomyces sp. PVA_94-07. The record is from RNAcentral. Lineage: Bacteria; Bacillati; Actinomycetota; Actinomycetes; Kitasatosporales; Streptomycetaceae.
GCAUCCAGGGGUCGAUCGGCGCCCGCGAGGCGGUCAAGUCGGGCGACGCGGACGCCAUGUACGAGUACACCGGCACCUCCUGGAUC